AUUGAACGCUCGCGGGAUGCUUUACACAUGCAAGUCGAACGGCAGCGCGGACUUCGGUCUGGCGGCGAGUGGCGAACGGGUGAGUAAUGUAUCGGAACGUGCCCAGUAGCGGGGGAUAACUACGCGAAAGCGUAGCUAAUACCGCAUACGCCCUACGGGGGAAAGCAGGGGAUCGUAAGACCUUGCACUAUUGGAGCGGCCGAUAUCGGAUUAGCUAGUUGGUGAGGUAACGGCUCACCAAGGCGACGAUCCGUAGCUGGUUUGAGAGGACGACCAGCCGCACUGGGACUGAGACACGGCCCAGACUCCUACGGGAGGCAGCAGUGGGGAAUUUUGGACAAUGGGGGCAACCCUGAUCCAGCCAUCCCGCGUGUGCGAUGAAGGCCUUCGGGUUGUAAAGCACUUUUGGCAGGAAAGAAACGUCGCGGGCUAAUACCCCGUGGAACUGACGGUACCUGCAGAAUAAGCACCGGCUAACUACGUG
Molecule: ribosomal RNA, 484 nt
Filed under: uncultured bacterium
Lineage: Bacteria
Description: partial 16S ribosomal RNA
Rfam family: Bacterial small subunit ribosomal RNA
Source: RNAcentral